UACAGAGGGUGCAAGCGUUGUUCGGAAUCAUUGGGCGUAAAGGGCGUGUAGGCGGUCUGUUAAGUCAUGUGUGAAAUCCCUCGGCUCAACCGGGGAACGACGCAUGAAACUGACAAGCUAGAGUACCAAAGAGGGGGGUGGAAUUCCUGGUGUAGCGGUGGAAUGCGCAGAUAUCAGGAGGAACACCGGUGGCGAAGGCGGUUCUCUGGGCAUUACCUGACGCUGAGGAGCGAAAGCAUGGGGAGCGAACAGG
This 253-nucleotide ribosomal RNA is filed under the name uncultured bacterium. Its description in RNAcentral is "partial 16S ribosomal RNA". It matches the Rfam family "Bacterial small subunit ribosomal RNA", at positions 524 to 776 of the family's 1533-position model. The record is from RNAcentral.